Molecule: transfer RNA, 69 nt
Filed under: Lyperosomum longicauda
Lineage: Eukaryota; Metazoa; Platyhelminthes; Trematoda; Plagiorchiida; Dicrocoeliidae
Description: tRNA-Asn
Source: RNAcentral
GUUCGUGUGGAUUAUGGGUUUAAAAUUGUGAUGCUGUUAACUUCGAGAAGGUCGUUGGGCCCGCGAGCG